This 269-nucleotide long non-coding RNA is filed under the name Pan troglodytes (chimpanzee). RNAcentral describes it as "long non-coding RNA NONPTRT007798". The record is from RNAcentral. Lineage: Eukaryota; Metazoa; Chordata; Mammalia; Primates; Hominidae.
AAAAUAGCCUUGGAGUCCAACCACUGCCCUGUCACCCCCUGCGGCUUUUUCAAACUGAGAGUGAGUAGACUGUACUCUUCCUUCUUGUGCUUGGUGGAGAGAGGAGAGUAAGAAUAUUUACAUGAAAGGUUAACCAUUUCCCUGAGACCUUGAGAAGGGGAAGGGGAAGAGAGUCCCAGCAGUGAUGUUACUAGGGAAACCAGAAUGGAGGGUGCCAGUGAAUGUGGCACAAAGAGGGAGUGGGGACAAUGGUUUCGAAAUCUCUCCAU